GAAUCCCACAGGCCGUAAACCCAAGGUUUCCAGGGGAAGGUUCGUCCGCCCUGGGUUAGUCGGGACCUAAGCUGAGGCCGAAAGGCGUAGGUGAUGGACAACAGGUUGAUAUUCCUGUACUACCGAUAACCGUUUGAGAGAAGGGAUGACACAGUAGGAUAAGCUAAGCACACUGUUGGUUAUGUGUGCCCAAGCAUUGAGGCAGUCAAAGUAGGCAAAUCCGCUUUGAUAAUGCUGGGGUGUGAUGGGGAGCGAAAUUUAGUAGCGAAGUAGCUGAUUUCACACUGUCAAGAAAAGUCUCUAUCGAGGUUAAAGGUACCCGUACCGCAAACCGACACAGGUGGGUGAGGAGAGUAUCCUAAGGCCAGCGAGAGAACUGUUGUUAAGGAACUCGGCAAAAUGACCCCGUAACUUAGGGAUAAGGGGUGCCACCAUCAGGUGGCCGCAGAGAAUAGGCCCAAGCGACUGUUUACCAAAAACAUAGGUUUCUGCUAAGUCGCAAGACGAUGUAUAGGAGCUGACGCCUGCCCGGUGCUGGAAGGUUAAGGGGAUCUGUUAGAGCAAUCGAAGCAGUGAACUUAAGCCCCAGUAAACGGCGGCCGUAACUAUAACGGUCCUAAGGUAGCGAAAUUCCUUGUCGGGUAAGUUCCGACCCGCACGAAAGGCGUAACGAUUUGGGCACUGUCUCAACAACAGACUCGGUGAAAUUGUAAUUCCGGUGAAGAUGCCGGAUACCUGCGACAGGACGGAAAGACCCCAUGGAGCUUUACUGUAGCUUGACAUUGGGUCUUGGUACUACAUGUACAGGAUAGGUGGGAGGCUUUGAAACCAGGACGACAGUUUUGGCGGAGCCAUCCUUGGGAUACCACCCUUGUAGUACUGGGACUCUAACCAUAGGCCAUGAAUCUGGUCUUGGGACACUGUCAGGUGGGCAGUUUGACUGGGGCGGUCGCCUCCCAAAAGGUAACGGAGGCGCUCAAAGGUUCUCUCAGUACGGUCGGAAAUCGUACGUAGAGUGUAAAGGCAAAAGAGAGCUUGAUUGCAAGACAUACAGGUCGAGCAAGGAUGAAAAUCGGACUUAGUGAUCCGGUGGUUCUGCGUGGAAGGGCCAUCGCUCAACGGAUAAAAGCUACCCUGGGGAUAACAGGCUUAUCUCCCCCAAGAGUCCACAUCGACGGGGAGGUUUGGCACCUCGAUGUCGGCUCAUCACAUCCUGGGGCUGUAGUAGGUCCCAAGGGUUGGGCUGUUCGCCCAUUAAAGUGGUACGCGAGCUGGGUUCAGAACGUCGUGAGACAGUUCGGUCCCUAUCCGUCGCAGGCGUAGGAAAUUUGAGAAGACCUGUCCUUAGUACGAGAGGACCGGGAUGGACGUACCUCUGGUGUACCAGUUGUCCUGCCAAGGGCAUGGCUGGGUAGCUAUGUACGGAAUGGAUAAGCGCUGAAAGCAUCUAAGCGCGAAGUCAACUUCAAGAUAAGAUUUCCCACCGCAAGGGUAAGACCCCAGAAAGACUAUCUGGUUGAUAGGUCGAAGGUGUAAGUGCAGCAAUGUAUUUAGCUUAUCGAUACUAAUAGGUCGAGGACUUGACCAA
This 1588-nucleotide ribosomal RNA is filed under the name Clostridioides difficile. RNAcentral's name for it is "bacterial LSU rRNA". It matches the Rfam family "Bacterial large subunit ribosomal RNA", at positions 1325 to 2925 of the family's 2925-position model. The record is from RNAcentral. Lineage: Bacteria; Bacillati; Bacillota; Clostridia; Peptostreptococcales; Peptostreptococcaceae.